UACGUAGGGACCGAGCGUUGUCCGGAAUCAUUGGGCGUAAAGAGCGUGUAGGCGGCCACUUAAGUCCUGCGUGAAAUCUUGCGGCUCAACCGCAAGCGGUCGUGGGAAACUGGGUGGCUAGAGUGCGGGAGAGGAGAGUGGAAUUCCUGGUGUAGCGGUGGAAUGCGCAGAUAUCAGGAAGAACACCCGUGGCGAAGGCGGCUCUCUGGAGCGCAACUGACGCUGAGACGCGAAAGCGUGGGGAGCAAACAGG
RNAcentral lists this ribosomal RNA (253 nucleotides) under uncultured bacterium. RNAcentral's name for it is "partial 16S ribosomal RNA". It matches the Rfam family "Bacterial small subunit ribosomal RNA", at positions 524 to 776 of the family's 1533-position model. The record is from RNAcentral.